This 426-nucleotide ribosomal RNA is filed under the name uncultured bacterium. RNAcentral's name for it is "bacterial SSU rRNA". It matches the Rfam family "Bacterial small subunit ribosomal RNA", at positions 355 to 772 of the family's 1533-position model. The record is from RNAcentral.
UGGGGAAUUGUUCGCAAUGGGCGCAAGCCUGACGACGCAACGCCGCGUGGAGGAUGAAGGUCUUCGGAUUGUAAACUCCUGUUGACCGGGAAGAAUGGGCCCUGACCUAACACGUCGGGGCCAUGACGGUACCGGUUGAGGAAGCCACGGCUAACUCCGUGCCAGCAGCCGCGGUAAUACGGAGGGGGCUAGCGUUGUUCGGAAUUACUGGGCGUAAAGCGCACGUAGGCGGCUUUGUAAGUUAGAGGUGAAAGCCCGGGGCUCAACUCCGGAACUGCCUUUAAGACUGCAUCGCUAGAAUCGUGGAGAGGUAAGUGGAAUUCCGAGUGUAGAGGUGAAAUUCGUAGAUAUUCGGAAGAACACCAGUGGCGAAGGCGACUUACUGGACACAUAUUGACGCUGAGGUGCGAAAGCGUGGGGAGCAAA